UNUGACUUGAGUGCAGAAGGGGAGAGUGGAAUUCCAUGUGUAGCGGUGAAAUGCGUAGAUAUAUGGAGGAACACCAGUGGCGAAAGCGGCUCUCUGGUCUGUCACUGACGCUGAGGCUCGAAAGCGUGGGUAGCGAACAGGAUUAGAUACCCUGGUAGUCCACGCCGUAAACGAUGAGUGCUAGGUGUUAGGCCCUUUCCGGGGCUUAGUGCCGGAGCUAACGCAAUAAGCACUCCGCCUGGGGAGUACGACCGCAAGGUUGAAACUCAAAGGAAUUGACGGGGGCCCGCACAAGCGGUGGAGCAUGUGGUUUAAUUCGAAGCAACGCGAAGAACCUUACCAGGUCUUGACAUCCCGAUGCUAUUCUUAGAGAUAGGAAGUUACUUCGGUACAUCGGAGACAGGUGGUGCAUGGUUGUCGUCAGCUCGUGUCGUGAGAUGUUGGGUUAAGUCCCGCAACGAGCGCAACCCUUAUUGUUAGUUGCCAUCAUUAAGUUGGGCACUCUAGCGAGACUGCCGGUAAUAAACCGGAGGAAGGUGGGGAUGACGUCAAAUCAUCAUGCCCCUUAUGACCUGGGCUACACACGUGCUACAAUGGUCGGUACAACGAGUUGCGAGCCGGUGACGGCAAGCUAAUCUCUGAAAGCCGAUCUCAGUUCGGAUUGGAGGCUGCAACUCGCCUCCAUGAAGUCGGAAUCGCUAGUAAUCGCGGAUCAGCACGCCGCGGUGAAUACGUUCCCGGGCCUUGUACACACCGCCCGUCACACCACGAGAGUUUGUAACACCCGAAGUCGGUGAGGUAACCUUUUAGGGGCCAGCCGC
This 821-nucleotide ribosomal RNA is filed under the name uncultured bacterium. Its description in RNAcentral is "bacterial SSU rRNA". It matches the Rfam family "Bacterial small subunit ribosomal RNA", at positions 636 to 1456 of the family's 1533-position model. The record is from RNAcentral.